This 578-nucleotide long non-coding RNA is filed under the name Papio anubis (olive baboon). Its description in RNAcentral is "lncRNA (ENSPANG00000047453.1)". The record is from RNAcentral. Lineage: Eukaryota; Metazoa; Chordata; Mammalia; Primates; Cercopithecidae.
GUGUAAUUAACAUGCAUGAUACAUAUGCAUAUACACAAUACAGCUUCUUUUUAGUGCACACUUCUGUGAGUUUAGAUGAAUGAAAUUUGUAUAACAAUAAAAUUUCAAUUUUUAAUAAGCCUAUAAGAUUUGUUGGAGUCAAAACUUCUUUCAGACCCCAGACUCUAGAAAUAUUUGUUCUUCUGUAUUUUGUUGUACUAGGUUCGGUAGACCUAGGGAAAUGCAGACACCAAAUAGCAUGUGUGUUAGAUAAAAAAUGCAAAAACAUGCUCAAAACAACCUUGCUCCAGGAAUAGACUAAGAAAAUUUAUGAACUGCGAGUUAUAUAAGGGCAUCUCUGGACCACAAGCUCAUAUCUAUCUUGUAGAUCACUUCCAGUAAGUAUAAUGGGCUUCUUUUUACUCCCGAGUCUAAGGAAGAAAAUCAGUUUCUACUAUCUCCACCACAGUAAUCACAGAUUAUUUUCCUUCUUUUUGCUUUCAGGAUCUUACGUGUGUUUUCACCACUUACUUUGUGAUUCCAGAGUAGAGGAAGCAGUCUCCUGUGCUGAUGGUCAAAGGUCGGUUUCCAGACAAUGA